Anguilla rostrata (American eel) is the source of this 68-nucleotide small nucleolar RNA. Lineage: Eukaryota; Metazoa; Chordata; Actinopteri; Anguilliformes; Anguillidae. The record is from RefSeq and is a predicted model, not a curated record.
UGUGAGUGAUGAGCCUUUCUUACCCGACUUUCCUGUGGGGGUACAAACUGAUUUAAUGAGCCUGACAC